RNAcentral lists this long non-coding RNA (5762 nucleotides) under Homo sapiens (human). Its description in RNAcentral is "HSALNT0384408". The record is from RNAcentral. Lineage: Eukaryota; Metazoa; Chordata; Mammalia; Primates; Hominidae.
UGAUGAGCAAGAUGAAGCCUGGAGAAUCUUGCAGGGGCCUCAGAAAGGAAAUGACACAUCACUUAUGAUUCAUAUUCUAUUGGCCAGAAUUAGUCACGUAGCCCUGCCUAACUCAAAGUCAUUGGGAAGGUACUUCCAUACACUGAAAAAGGAAGGGAGAACUGGAUAUUGGGCAGUGUGAAUAUCAAUUACGUAUGGCAAGGAGGAGAUUGAAUGCAGACACUAAUAUUCAGAGAGUCCUGCUGUGUCAUUCAGGCUGGAGUGCAUGGCACCAUCUCGGCUCACUGGAACCUCCACCUCCUGGGCUUAAGUGAUUCUCCUGCCUCAGCCUCCCAAGUAGCUGAGACUACAAGCACGCACUACCAUGCCCAGCUAAUUUUUUUUUUUUUUUUGAGGCGGAGUGUCGCUCUCUCGCCCAGGCUGGAUGGAGUGCAGUGGCACAAUCUCAGCUCACUGCAAGCUCUGCCUCCCGGGUUCAUGCCAUUCUUCUGCCUCAGCCUCCCGAGUAGCUGGGACUACAGGCACCCGUCACCACGCCCGGUUAAUUUUUUGUGUUUUUAGUAGAGAUGGGGUUUCACCGUUUUAACCAGGAUGGUCUCGAUCUCCUGACCUCAUGAUCCGCCCACCUCGGCCUCCCAAAGUGCUGGGAUUACAGGUGUGAGCCACUGCACCCGGCCUAAUUUUUGUAUUUUUAGUAGAGAUGGGGUUUCACCGUGCUGGCCAGGCUGGUCUCAAACUCCUGACCUGAAAUGAUCUACCCGCCUUGGCCUCCCAAAGGGCUGGGAUUACAGGCAUGAGCCAUUGAACCUGGCCUAUGUCUUUACAUCCUUUUAAAGUAAUUGUUUGGAAUUGGAUUGUGGAGUUGUGUCAUCAACAUUAAAGCUAAUUUUCUGUUUGGGAGCACUUGGGCUAUUUUCAUCCCUUGGUUCCCACAAAUAAUAUUAUUUAUUUAUUUUAUUUACUUAUUUUUAUUUUAUUUUUUGAGACAAGGUCUGGUUUUAUUGCCCAGGCUGAAGUGCAGUGUUGUGAUCUCAGUUCACUGCAACCUCUGCCUCCCAGGCUCAAACGAUCCUCCCACCUCAGCCUCCUGAGUAGCUGGUACUACAGGCACACCACCAUACCUGGCUAAUGUUUUAAAAAAUUUUUGUAGCAGUGUGGUUUUGCCAUUCUGCCCAGGCUGGUCUUGAACUUGUGAACUCAAACAAUCUGUCCACCUCAGCCUCCCAGUGUGCUGGGAUUACAGGUGUGAGCCACCUCACCCGCCUUUGUUUAUUUUUCAUACAGGGUCUCUCUGUCACUCAGGGUGGAGGACAGGGUGCAAUCAUGGCUCACUGCAGCCUGGAACACCUGGGAUCAAGCAAUUCUCCCUCCUCAGCCUCCUGAGUAGCUGGGACUACAGGUGUCAGUCACUACACCCAGCUAUUUUUUUUUUUUUCACAGAGACAUGGUCUCGCUAUGUUGUCCAGGCUUACAAAUAAUAUCAUUAUGAGGGGUUUUUCUUAGCUAAAUCUUUGCAUGCACAUUUGUUUUCCUCAUAUAAAUUUCUUUCUCUUUUCUUUUCUUUUCUUUUUUUUUUUUUUUUGAGAUGGCGUUUUGCUCUUGUUGCCCAGGCUGGAGUGCAACGGUGUGAUCUCAGUUCGCCGAAACCUCCGCCUCCCAGAUUCAAGCGAUUCUCCUGCCUCAGCCUCCCGGGUUGCUAGGAUUACAAGCAUGCACCACCACGGCCGGCUAAUUUUGUAUUUGUAGUAGAGACUGGGUUUCUCCAUGUUGGUCAGGCUGGUCUUGAACUCCUGACCUCAGGUGAUCCACCCGCCUUGGCCUUCCAAAGUGCUGGGAUUAUAGGUGUGAGCCACCAAGACUGGCCUCCUCAUAUGAAUUUCUAAAGGUAGAAUUGAUGGAUUCACAUGGCAUAUUUUAUUUUAUUUUAUUUUGAGACAGAGUCUCGCACUGUCACCUGGCCUGGAGUGCAGUGGCGUGAUCUUGGCUCACUGCAACCUUCACCUCCCGGGUUCACUGGAUUCUCCUGUCUCAGCCUCCCGAGUAGCUGGGAUUACAGGCGCAUGCCACCAUGUCCGGCUAAUUUUUUUUGUAUUUUUAGUAGAGACGGGAUUUCACUGUGUUUGCCAGACUGGUCUCGAACUCCUGACCUCACGUGAUCCACCCGCCUUGGCCCCCCAAAGUUUUGGGAUUACAGGCGUAAGCCACCGCGCCCGGCCUCAGAUGGCACAUUUUAAGGCUUUGGAUAUGAAUUGCCAAAAUCUCUCCUGAUUUCCCUCUUUCCUUACCCCAGACAGCCAAUGAAACUUCUGUUUAUCUACAUCCUCACUAACACUGGAUGUUAAAUAUGGGUUUAAAAAAUCUCUGCAAAUUGCUUCAGCAUGAUAUUCUUUUUUUUUUUUGAGAUAGAGUUUCCAUUGCCCAGGCCACGGGGUGCAGUGGCACAAUCUCAGCUCAUUGCAGCCUCUGCCUCCCGCAUUCAAGCGAUUCUCCUGCUUCAGCCUCCUGAGGAGCUGGGAUCGCAGGUGCGGGCCACCACGCCUCAUUAAUUUUUGUAUUUUUAGUAGACACGAGGUUUCACCAUGUUGGCCAGGCUGUUCUCAAACUCUGACCUCAAAUGAUCUGCCUGCCUUUGCCUCCCAAAUUGCUGGGAUUACAAGGCAUGUGCCACAGCACCCAGCCAGCAUGAUAUUCUUAAUGUAAUAAAAUGUCUUCUAUCUGAAAAAAACAUAAAAAGCCUUUAUUUAAAGGAUGAACUAAAAUCAAAUAGGUUAAAACUAAUCUUCCUUUAAGUAGAUCUAUGCAGCAAAAAUUAUUAAAAUGGCCAGGUGCGGUGGCUCACGCCUGUAAUCCCAGCAAGUUGAGAGGCUGAGGUGAAAGAAUCGCUGGAGCUCAGGAAUUCGAGACCAGCCUGGGCAACAUGGUGAAACCCCGUCUCUACAAGAAAUACAAAAAUUUACUGUUCUUGAUAGCACACGCGUGUAGUCCCAACUACUCGGGAGGCUGAGGUAGGAGGAUGGCUUGAGCCUGGGAGGUCGUGGCUGCAGUGAGCCAUGUUCAUCCCACUGCACUCCAGCCUGGGUGACAAAGCAAGACCCUGCCUCAAAAAAUAAACUAAAAUAAAAUAAAAAGUUUCUUAUUAAUGAAAAAAAAAAUCAAGGCACACCCAACUGUAACAAUUGGGGCCACUUAAAAAAAAAACACAAGCUCUCUUACCUCUGGCUGUAAGGACACAGGCUAUUCUGAUUUUAUCACCAGGAAAACUGCCCAUGAGGAAGCUGAGCCCAGCUGUGGCACUUUGGGUUGCCAGGGAAGCUGUUGGCUGAGCUGAGAAUAAACAUAAGUGAUUCUAUUCUCAGUAAGUGGUUCUAACCGCUAACCAUCCUUCCUUCCCCUUCUGUAUAUCUAUAUUAUGUUUGGGCCUAAAUCAUGCUGUCUGGAUGAAUCCUGAUUCUACGAGGCUUUUAGUUUUGAUAAACACAGUAUUGGGAAAUUUCCCAGUGGAUCUGCGUGAAAAGAAAAAUCUGACUUUGCUUUAACAGGUGCCUAACUUCAACAUUAAUGCCAGUGCUUAUGACUAAGGGGAUCCGAUGAUGCAAGGGUAAACUGGAGUGUCAGACUUCCAAAUGACAUGGAACUUUAGGUGACCUCUAAGACACUGGCUUGUGAGUGUGCAACAGUGCAGAGACCCAAGAUGCUGCUUUUGCAGAAACACCUGGGAUAUUGACAUAUUAAAUGAAAAAUAACCACCCCAGGCUGGAGAUGGUGGCUCACACAUGUAAUCUGUAAUCCCAGCACUUUGGGAGGUCAAGGCAGGAGGAUUGCUUGAAGCCACGAGUGCAAGACCAGCCUGGGCAACAAAGUGAGACCCUAACUCUACAGAAAGGAAGAAAGGAAGAAAGGAAGCAAGCAAGAAAGAAAUAAAGAAAGAAAGAAAGAAAGAAAGAAAGAAAGAAAGAAAGAAAGAAAAGAAAGAAAGAGAGAAAGAGAGAGAGAGAGACAGAAAGAGAGAAAGAAAGAAAGAGAGAGAGAACUACCCCAAACUUGGGAGUUAGCAUCUUUCAAAACUGUUUUUUGUUUUUUUGAGCCAGAGUCUCAUUCUGUCGCCCAGGCUGGAGUGCAGUGGCCCGAUCUCAGCUCACUACCACCUCCACCUCCCAGUUUCAAGCCAUUCUCAUACCUCAGCCACUCAGAUAGCUGGGACUACAGGCAAGCACCACCAUACUUGGCUAAUUUUUGUGUUUUUUAGUAGAGAAGGGCUUUCACUUUGUUGCCCAGGCUGGUCUCAAACUCCUGAGCUCAGGCAAUCUGCCCGCCUCAGCCUCCCAAAGUGCUAGGAUUACAGGCAUGAGCCACGAUGCCUGGACAUGCAAAACUUUAUAUUAGGAGAAAUUAUAAUUGAAGAGGUUAAAGUCACAGGGAAAAAAACAGGAUAGUGAGCAUCACAGCCAGUAGAUAUUCUGAUAAAUAGCUUAAGUUCACUAAAAUUACUUUAACAACAAUAAAAACAGCAAUGGGUGACAUUUUUUGCACAUGUUGCAAUAUUAUGCUUAUUUUCCUUUUCUGAAAAACCCUGUGACCCCUCUCCCCAUAAAAAUCAUAUAUUAAGGCUGAGGCUGAAUCAUACUGGAUAAACCAAUUGGAAAGGUUUGACUCAAACCAAGAAAAGAAGAAAGAGCCAAAUUUUUUUUAUUUUAUGAGUUCCCAAGUAAGCUUUUGAAAUUCAUGGCAGAAAUAAUAAUUUUGAAAGCCAAGGUUUUUGAUUUGCAAGAUUUUUAAAAAGAGGCUUUUUUCCUUUUUCUUUCUUUCCUUCCUCCAUUCCUCCCUUGCUUCCUCCCUUCCUUCCUCCCUUCCUUCUUCUCCAUAUUUAAUUUUGAGUAUCAGAUUCUGAAUUCAAAGCAAAUCCCUGAAGGAAUCAUUUUGAAAGCCAAGCCUCGGCCGGGCGCGCUGGCUCACGCCUGUAAUCCCAGCACUUUGGGGGGCUGAGGCGGGCGGAUCACGAGGUCAGGAAAUCGAGACCAUCCUGGCUAACACAGUGAAACUGCGUCUCUACUAAAAAUACAAAAAAAACUAGCCAGGCGUGGUGGCGGGCACCUGUAGUCCCAGCUACUCGGGAGGCUGAGGCAGGAGAAUGGCGUGAACCCGGGAGGCGGAGCUUGUGGUGAGCCGAGAUCGCGCCACUGGACCCCAGCCUGGGCGACGGAGCGAGACUCCGUCUCAAAAAAAAAAAAAAAAGAAAGAAAGCCAAGACUUCUGAUUUGCAAAAAGAGGAUCUUUUUCCUUUUUCUUUGUUUUCUAUCUUUUCUUUUUUUCUAGUUCUUUUAACUUGGUUUUGAGUAUCAAAACUUUGAAUCAGGGAUUCAAAGCAAAUCCCUGAAGCUAUCUUGGAAUAAAGUCUACACCACAACAAACAAGAGAUUUACUACAGGAGAACUGACAAAAAGUUAGGGCCAGGCGUGGUGGCUCACGCCUAUAAUUCCAGUACUUUGGGAGGGUGAGGCGGGAGGAUCACUUGAGGCCAGGAAUUCGAGACAAACUUGGCCAACAUGGCAAAACCCCAUCUCCACUAAAAAUACAAAAAUUAGCUGGGCGUGGUGGUGUGCGCCUGUAAUCCCAGCUACUCGGUGGCUGAGGCAGCAGAAUCGCUUGAACCUGGGAGGUGGAGGUUGCAGUGAGCCGAGAUUGCACCACUGCACUCCAGCCCGGGCAACAGAGCAAGACUCUGUCUCAAAAAAAAAGAAAAGAAAAGUCAUAUUAUCCUGUCC